Molecule: ribosomal RNA, 256 nt
Filed under: uncultured bacterium
Lineage: Bacteria
Description: partial 16S ribosomal RNA
Rfam family: Bacterial small subunit ribosomal RNA
Source: RNAcentral
UACAUGGGGGUGCAAACGUUGCUCGGAAUUAUUGGGCGUAAAGCGCACGUAGGCGGUUCGUUAAGUCGGAUGUGAAAGCCCUCGGCUCAACUGAGGAAGUGCACCCGAAACUGGCGAGCUUGAGUACGAAAGAGGAUCGCGGAAUUCCCGGUGUAGAGGUGAAAUUCGUAGAUAUCGGGAGGAACACCGGUGGCGAAGGCGGCGAUCUGGGUCGAUACUGACGCUGAGGUGCGAAAAGCGUGGGGGAGCAAACAGG